RNAcentral lists this ribosomal RNA (468 nucleotides) under uncultured bacterium. RNAcentral's name for it is "partial 16S ribosomal RNA". It matches the Rfam family "Bacterial small subunit ribosomal RNA", at positions 28 to 507 of the family's 1533-position model. The record is from RNAcentral.
GACGAACGCUGGCGGCGUGCUUAACACAUGCAAGUCGAACGGACAGGCCCUGCUUUUGUUGGUCUCUCGUGUGGCGCGCGGGUGUGUCACACGUGUGUACCCCCCCCCUGUCUUUGGGAUACCUCUAGGAAACUGGGGAUCAUACCCGAUAUGAGAUCCUGAUGCAUAUUGUUGGUUGGUAAGUUUCGGCGGUUGGGGAUCGUCUCGCUGCUUCCGCGCUGGUUGGGCGAGUAGGUGCUUACCAAGCCUGUGACGGCUAGCCGGCCUGGGAGGGGGACCGGCCACAUGGGGACUGAGAUACGGCCCAGACUCCUACGGGAGGCAGCAGGGGGGAAUAUGACAGAGUGGGGGGAAGCCUGAGACAGCAACGCCGCGUGCGGGAUAACGGGCUUCGGGUGGUAAACCGCUUUCGAAGGGGCCAAGGCGUGAGUGACGGUAACGAGUAAAGAAGCACCGGCUAACUACGUG